UUCAGUGAAGAUCUCAUAUCCCAGCAAAAUUAAAAGUGACGAUCCCCUAAUUUCAUUGUUUAACCUGCAAUCAUUUUAAAGCACCUGCAUUCUGAAAAUACAUAAACUAUUCAGCAAAUAUAUAAAAGAAACAAGGUUUUUAGCACAAAAGGCCAAAGAAAGGUUCACACAAGAUUAAUAAAAAAAGUGAUGUCACAGCUCCCCAUGCUAUUGCCAGAGCUUCGAAGUUUGGAGUCAGAAGAUCUAGAAUCGACACUUUGCAAAGACCGUCACAAUGCUUUGCCCUUUCUUGUAUCCACAUGUUUUGUCAUAUAAAUUUGCAAUCCCCUCCCAUGGGGUUGGGGCAGACACAAUUUCUAUCCCUGCAUUCAGCCAUGUAUUGAUUUGGCCAAUGAGAUGUUAAAAAAUGUAAUGCAAAUAAAAGAUUGAAGUUAACUUAUACAA
Long non-coding RNA from Pan troglodytes (chimpanzee), 444 nucleotides. RefSeq lists it as uncharacterized. The transcript is spliced from 3 exons. NCBI's taxonomy places the organism in Eukaryota, Metazoa, Chordata, Mammalia, Primates, Hominidae. The record is from RefSeq and is a predicted model, not a curated record.